This 4315-nucleotide unclassified non-coding RNA is filed under the name Hevea brasiliensis (rubber tree). Lineage: Eukaryota; Viridiplantae; Streptophyta; Magnoliopsida; Malpighiales; Euphorbiaceae. The record is from RNAcentral.
AAACCCCAACGCCUACCCCCAUUCCGAUCCGAUUCCGCGAGGAACCAUCUUGUUCCUUGCAGAUAGAGAACAGAACAGAUCAUCCACACUCUCGCACACAGCUCUUUUACCUCACUCCUCACAAAUCUGCUCUGUUUAAUCAAUCCAGCAAUGAUUAUAUUCUGUCUCCUAUAAAGUUGCAAAAGCCAAAGGAACAGAGGAACAGCUUCAUAAAAAUUCAAAAUCAAAAAUUAUCAGGUGCUGAUUCUUAUCAUGUGCUUUUAGUCUUUGAAUCUGGUAAUAAUUAGGAAAAACUAUGAUGUUUCUCCAAUAACUCAUCACGGAACAAUGUGAAUUACCUUUCAAGAUACAUUAGAGGUAUUUGCUUUCCAUGUAAAUAGUAGCAGCAGUUUAUCUUUUGGGUUACUGUAGCACCGAAUUUGAAGAUAUGAAGGGGCGGUCACAUCGUCUCCAGAGUCAUGACCUGCACGAGGACUGGGUGGAUGGCUCCUGGACGGUGGAUUGCAUCUGUGGUGUUAAUUUCGAUGAUGGGGAAGAGAUGGUUAAUUGCGAUGAGUGUGGUGUUUGGGUGCACACACGUUGCUCCCGGUACGUGAAGGGAGAUGAGUUAUUUACUUGUGAUAAAUGCAAAAAUAAGAGCAACAAGGGUGACAGUGAGGAGACCGAGGUUGCUCAAUUGCUGGUUGAAUUGCCUACCAAAACUAUCCGACUAGAGAGUAGUUAUGCAGUAAAUGGGCCCUCACGCAGGUCUUUUAGGCUUUGGACAGAUAUACCAAUGGAAGAGAGAGUACAUGUUCAGGGCAUUCCAGGUGGUGAUCCUGCAUUGUUUUCUGGGUUGUCUUCUGUUUUUACACCUGAGUUGUGGAAUUGCACUGGGUAUGUGCCUAAAAGGUUUAAUUUUCAGUAUAGGGAGUUCCCAUGCUGGGAUGAGAAGGAGUGUGGUGAUAGCAGAAAUGAGGAAGAUAAUGGAAAUACUGUUGAUAAAGGUGCAGGUGUUUUGUUUUCAUUGGCCAAGGAGAGCCCUACAGCAGCUUUUGUUGGCGUGAAGGGGAGAGGUGAGGAAGGCAUUUUUGAUACGAAACAGUACUCAAAAGGAAGGAAAAAUUGGGUGAAUGAGGACAGUGAGGUUAGGCAUUCACAGAUUGGGGUUAAAAAGGAGAGAAGCUUACUUCGGCCAGUUGUAAUACACUCAAAUAAACGAAAGAAAGAGGAUUUAGGAACAUCCAAAGAACAAAGUGGAAAGAAGAAGGCUAGAGCUGCAUGCAAGGAGGUGGAUGCAAAGAAAGAUUCUCAUGUUUCUAGAACAGCAUUUACAUCCACCAGUGACGCAAAACCAUUGGAAUUUUAUGAAGACAGAGGUCCGAAGUCUAUCAAGAGUGAUGGCUGGAGUAUUAAGAACAAGAAACUGAGAGACUCCAUGAUUCAGGAACAUGAAUCAGAUUGUUAUGCUUCUGUGGGCAAUGGUGCAGAGAAGUCCAAGAACAGUGUGGCAGUGAUUGAGUGCUCCUCAGAAGCUUUAUCUACUGGCAUUUCUAGGCAUAAUUUUCCAACUGAAGUUGGACUGAAUGAAGGGAAAGUUAACCAUGAAAGUCUAGAAGCAUUUAAGAGUUCUCCCAAGUUAGAUAAUGUAGCUGCAUCGGUACAUGAACAAAGAGACGUUGGGACAAUCCCUGCAGAACAAGAGGGAGAUAAGAUGCCAAAUGGUAAUCUAGAUGAUACUAUAGAUGGUUCUGCUGGAAGUGAUGUUAAGCCUUCUACUGGUGAUCUGGCAACCACUGUUCCAGAAGUGGACAGUCAGAUUAAUUGGGAGCAUGGUAUGUACCUGAGUUCUAUGCAGCCUAAUUUUAAAGUAGAUGCAAAUGGUGAUAAUUCUAUGGUGAUCCUGAAUGGUCAUUCUUCAGUUGGUGAUGUGAAAGAUAUAGGGGUUUCUCAUGAUAACAUUACUGAAAAUUCAAAAAUGAAUAAUGCAGCAUUAAGUGUUUCACCAUCUGGUGACCACAAGGCUCAAGAGGUUGACGGAACUCCAGAAGCGAUCAGUGAUUGCCAUGCAGAUAAGGUGAAUGAAUUAACUAGUGAACCUUAUCAUAUUCAACAAGAAUUGGAGGUGUUUGAGGGUUUUUUCCCAUUGCAAAAAUGCCCGUCAGAACCUAAACUUGGUUCAACUUUUGGUGGAGGUGGAAUUAUCUCAAAUUUUGUAGCAUUACCCAGUAAGAAUAAAAUUGUUGUGUGUGUUCGAAAAUCAACUUCGACUUCAUCUGCUUUCAUGGUCUCCAAAUCCUCUGAUUGUGACAACUUUAGAUCUGUAGAUACUCUGGACACUAAUCCUAAUACGAAGCAGCAAGUAAUAUCUGAGUGCAAUUAUAAUAUGAAGAAAGAUCGAGCUGCAUGUGAUGUUGUUAAGGUCAAGGAUGAAGACAAUCAGGAUGUGUCAAGAAGAACAGUAAAUGAGCAUCCGAAAUCCUCUGUGAAUUCUGCUUCAAAACCAUCAAACUCGAGCAAAAUUUCACAUACAUCUGUUAUCAAAAGAACGGUCUCUGAUUCAAAAGAUUCUGCACUUCACUCAUCUUCUAAAACAUCUUCACUCCAGAAUUCCUGUGAGACUACAGGAUCUCCACAAAAUGAAUGUGCUUUACAGGUUCAAAAUAAGGCAUUGGCUUCAGGUUUACCUCUAAGAGGUGAAAAGUUUAAUCAUUGUAGCAGCCAGUCAUCAUCCAAGGCAAAUCAUGCAAUAUCUAUGAACCCUCCCCCUUCUAUUAAUUCUUCUGCAACUUUAAGUGAUGAAGAGCUUGCUUUGCUUCUGCACCAAGAACUCAAUAGUUCUCCUAGAGUUCCUCGUGUUCCUCGUGUUCGUCAUGCAGGCAGCUUACCUCAGUUGGCUUCUCCAACUGCAACAAGCCUGCUAAUAAAACGCACAUCUAGUUCUGGAGGAAGAGAUUCUAGUCUGGUUUCUAGAAGAAAGAAAAAGGAUGCAUCUAAAGAUGGGUUUUCCCGUUCUCAUGAACCUGAUGAUGAGGCUAAAAAGUGGGGGAGGGUACCAUCUUCACCCGAUCAGAAGAGACAAGAUACAGGAUGUACAGUUGAUGAGUUGUCCAAGAGAGAGGAUAAUGGAUCUCCAAUAGCUGUACAUUCUGUCAAGAAAGGCAUCCCUCCUGCCUCCGCCUCAACAGCAAACAGUGGCCCAUCUUCCUCUAGUGAGUUUAAUGACCAUCAUUUGUCAUCUCUACGUAACUCACCAAGAAAUACAUCUGAUGAGGAGACGGGCACUGUUCUGGGUCCUGCUCAUCACACUUUACCAGGCUUAAUCAAUGAGAUUAUGAGCAAAGGCAGGCGCAUGACAUACGAGGAACUCUGUAAUGCUGUCUUGCCGCACUGGCAUAACUUGAGGAAACAUAAUGGAGAACGUUAUGCAUAUUCAAGUCAUUCUCAGGCUGUUCUUGACUGCCUUAGGAACCGACACGAGUGGGCUCAGUUGGUGGAUCGCGGUCCCAAGACAAAUUCAAGUAGGAAGAGGCGAAAGCUUGAUGCUGAGGAAUCAGAAGAUAAUGACUGUGGCAAGGGAAGAAACGCAAGGGAAGGUGAAAGUAAAAGCCUUGAAUCACAAAGAGAUGAGUUUCCCAAGGGCAAACGGAAAGCAAGGAAACGAAGGCGUCUGGCACUGCAAGGAAGAGGAAUAAAAGAAAUUAGGAAGAGGCGGAAGGCAGAUUUGCUUACUGAUGAAGAUAGUGGGCCAUUUUCUAAUUCAAGUGAUGAGAGUUUGUUCAGUGAUGAUGAGAUUCCGGGUGGAGGAGCUGAGCCAGUUGGAACUGAGGCCUCAGCUAGCUCGGAUGAGACGGGGGCAAUGUAAUUUUUAAUAUUUGACUUUUUGGUUUAUGGUCUGUGUUUGUGAUUUCAGUAGGAAGCCAGGCUUCUCCUUUUUCUGCUGGGAAUCUGGAAUAGUUCUCUGUUACCAUAAGUUUUCACAACUCAUGGGAUUUUAGCAAGUUGACAAGUUGUGGCAUUCUCUGUUGUAUGAUCUUGGCUAAAAGAGUCCCUGUAGACUCAUUACCGUGUUAAGUCAGCCCUGUGAACCCAUGUAAUUAGUUGCAUAUUAUCGUUGACCAUCCUGAUGGUCAUUGGUGGUGAGCAGUUUUGCAGGCUGUGGCGUAUGGGGGCCAAGUUGUAAUAUUAGUGUACAUGUGUAAUUUUUGUACCAUUUUUGUAGAGAAAUAUAGUCAAUUAUCCAGUAGAUUUUGAAAAAUUUUAUAAAAACAGCAAGAUAUUGUUUUGCUUGUGUAGCUGUGAAUCUCUUCAAGGUAUAUGAUGAAGUCUAAUGUUU